CGCAUGGGGAUGUGCGUGCCUUUUUUUUGGCAUGCAUGAAUGAGAAGGGAGGGCACCAAAAAGUGGGCACCCCUCUUCCUUGGUAUUCUCUCUCCUCUGGAUAAGGCUUUAUCCUUAUUAAGUUGUUGAAUUUAAUUUUGAAUUUGAUUCAAAGUUAGGAUAAAUCUUAUUUGGGUGGUUAGAGAUUGUUAGACACCUCUAUUUAGUAGGCGUGGAAG
This 218-nucleotide long non-coding RNA is filed under the name Elaeis guineensis (African oil palm). Its description in RNAcentral is "long non-coding RNA (EGUI_LNC036881)". Lineage: Eukaryota; Viridiplantae; Streptophyta; Magnoliopsida; Arecales; Arecaceae. The record is from RNAcentral.